RNAcentral lists this ribosomal RNA (424 nucleotides) under uncultured Chitinophagaceae bacterium. Its description in RNAcentral is "bacterial SSU rRNA". It matches the Rfam family "Bacterial small subunit ribosomal RNA", at positions 355 to 776 of the family's 1533-position model. The record is from RNAcentral. Lineage: Bacteria; Pseudomonadati; Bacteroidota; Chitinophagia; Chitinophagales; Chitinophagaceae.
UAAGGAAUAUUGGUCAAUGGACGGAAGUCUGAACCAGCCAUGCCGCGUGGAGGAUGAAGGUCCUCUGGAUUGUAAACUUCUUUUAUAGGGGGCGAAAAAAGGGAAUUCUUUCUCGUCUGACGGUACCCUAUGAAUAAGCACCGGCUAACUCCGUGCCAGCAGCCGCGGUAAUACGGAGGGUGCAAGCGUUAUCCGGAUUCACUGGGUUUAAAGGGAGCGUAGGCGGGCAUGUAAGUCCGUGGUGAAAGCCCUCAGCUCAACUGAGGAACUGCCAUGGAUACUAUAUGUCUUGAAUGUCGUUGAGGUUUGCGGAAUGGGUCAUGUAGCGGUGAAAUGCUUAGAUAUGACCCGGAACACCAAUUGCGAAGGCAGCAGGCUAAACGAAUAUUGACGCUGAGGCUCGAAAGCGUGGGGAUCAAACAGG